CACGUAGGCGGCAAGGUAAGUCAAAGGUGAAAGCCCUCGGCUCAACCGAGGAACUGCCUUUGAAACUGCUUUGCUUGAGUCCGGGAGGGGGGAGCGGAAUUCCCAGUGUAGCGGUGAAAUGCGUAGAUACUGGGAGGAACACCGGUGGCGAAGGCGGCUCCCUGGACCGGUACUGACGCUGAGGUGCGAAAGCGUGGGUAGCAAACA
This 207-nucleotide ribosomal RNA is filed under the name uncultured bacterium. RNAcentral's name for it is "partial 16S ribosomal RNA". It matches the Rfam family "Bacterial small subunit ribosomal RNA", at positions 568 to 774 of the family's 1533-position model. The record is from RNAcentral.